RNAcentral lists this ribosomal RNA (256 nucleotides) under uncultured bacterium. Its description in RNAcentral is "partial 16S ribosomal RNA". It matches the Rfam family "Bacterial small subunit ribosomal RNA", at positions 524 to 776 of the family's 1533-position model. The record is from RNAcentral.
UACGAAGGGUGCAAGCGUUACUCGGAAUUACUGGGCGUAAAGCGUGCGUAGGUGGUUUGUUAAGUCUGAUGUGAAAGCCCUGGGCUCAACCUGGGAAUUGCAUUGGAUACUGGCAGGCUAGAGUGCGGUAGAGGAUGGCGGAAUUCCCGGUGUAGCAGUGAAAUGCGUAGAGAUCGGGGAGGAACAUCUGUGGCGAAGGCGGCCAUCUGGACCAGCACUGACACUGAGGCACGAAAGCGUGGGGGAGCAAAACAGG